UACCAGCACCCCGAGUGGUCGGGACGUUUAUUGGGCCUAAAGCAUCCGUAGCCGGUUCUACAAGUCUUCCGUUAAAUCCAACUGCUUAACAGGUGGGCUGCGGAAGAUACUAUAGAGCUAGGAGGCGGGAGAGGCAAGCGGUACUCGAUGGGUAGGGGUAAAAUCCGUUGAUCCAUUGAAGACCACCAGUGGCGAAGGCGGCUUGCCAGAACGCGCUCGUCGGUGAGGGAUGAAAGCUGGGGGAGCAAACCGG
This 253-nucleotide ribosomal RNA is filed under the name uncultured bacterium. Its description in RNAcentral is "partial 16S ribosomal RNA". It matches the Rfam family "Archaeal small subunit ribosomal RNA", at positions 474 to 727 of the family's 1478-position model. The record is from RNAcentral.